CUGAUUCUCUUCUAUACAGUUUAACAAAUCAAGUUUAUGUGAGCUCAUUUACUUAUAGACAUUGGCUGGAGUCCAAUGACACUGGUCUGCGACUAUGGGUCCCAUGAAGCUCAUUAUAUCUGUGGUCUGUGGCUUUCUAUGGCUAACAAUUAGCUCCCAGAAACAAUGCAAACUGCCAUUUCCACUCUGGUCAUGGUUACCAUGGGGAUCACCUUAUGGUUCUUUGCAGGAUCUAACUACAGUGCUUUUGCUAAUGGCCCACAGCCUUGACUCUUGGGAGACUAGAAGCAUUAGGAAAUCAAAGCACAUGACCAGAGGCAAGACAGGCCUGGAAGCCAAAACUACAGAUGAAGUUGAGGAUCUGAAGGAAGACAACAGUCAGGCCUCAGAGCUAAGGGUUCAAAGAGCAAACUCAGGGCCAGGGAUAUAGCUCAGUGGCACAAGUGCCUGCCUGGCAAGCACAAAGUCUUGCGUUCAAUUCCCAAUACAAAAAAAAAAGAGCAAACCAGAUAACUACCAAGAAGAAACCAUGACAGGGUAUUAGGGCAUCAAAGAUAUCCAAAGCAAGAAAUCUUGUCUGAGCCAUAUGCUAAAAGAGUAGAAUAGAUCUACUCCAAGUCAGCAAAUAAUGAGUCAAAAGUGAAUGAACAAAUUAGGAAGCUGAGAGACAUCAAGAAGAAAAUUAAACCAAGCAUGGUGGCCCACAUCUGUAAUCCCAGCACUCCAGUGGCUAAGGCAGGAGGAUUGCCACAAGUUCAAGGUGAGCCUGGGCUACGUAGUGAGUUCAAAGCCAGCAUGAACUAAAACUACAUGGUGAGACCCUGUCUCAAAAAAACAAACAACCAAAAAAGAAAAUAAAGUAAAAUCUCAGUAACUUCUCCCCUAAAAUACCUCUACCAUGUGUCUCAGGCUGCGCCUAUCACAAGCCACAAUGGAGUCUGUGGAAAAUUUCUGAUGGAGAUGUCCAUUUCUUUUUCCUGAGAAAGGUUUCCUGAAACUAAAAGAACAAUGAAAGAAUAAAAGUUCCCAUAAAUCAGUUUCAAACCUAAGGAAUCAAGGACAAGAAGGUUGUGGGUGAGAUACAGAGAACUGGGGGUUGUUUUACACAUCUUUGUGGCUACCGAGGUCCGUAAGCUCCACAGGUACCCCCUUUCCUCACGCUGCACUCUGUACCUCAGGCACAGCUCUGUUUUCUCAGCACUGGCGUCUUGGAGAUAAGAGCCUAUUAUUUCAACCAACUUCACUAAGUACCUAUAGUAGGCCAAAUAUCACGCUAACACUCUAACAUAAAGGCAUAUUUUGAGGUUGAUUUUCUGAUUCUAUCCAAGUUCCUUGCUGUUAGACAACAUAAGGAACUUUUUACAGACUUCUGAGGAAUGUCUCCCAAGCCUUGGACCUUCCAGGUACAGUGGAAGAAGAAUGGGACUCUUAUGCCAACUCUGCUGUAAACCUGCUUUGGACCAAAGCUAAAUCACAAAAAUAUUAAAGCUCUCAGCCUUCUCUCCUGUCAUGUGGAUUUAUUCUUUCAUCCCCUGCCUCUUUCAUAUGA
RNAcentral lists this long non-coding RNA (1549 nucleotides) under Chinchilla lanigera (long-tailed chinchilla). Its description in RNAcentral is "lncRNA (ENSCLAG00000027483.1)". The record is from RNAcentral. Lineage: Eukaryota; Metazoa; Chordata; Mammalia; Rodentia; Chinchillidae.